UCCUCUUGUGGCGUCACCGAGGAGUUUCGGCACCUCCCUUGCCUAGGGUCUCAUGUUUCGGGUGAAAACCUCAGAUUUGGCUAGCCAAAUCGGGCGACGACGGCGUCUUGGACGUCGUACCCUCCUUGGAGGCGUCGUCUUGGGAACUUGAGUUCGGGUCGUACGUCUUCCUCGUGGAUCUUAGCGCUGACCACAUGGGAGGUGUCUUGCGAUGCAGGUAGCGCGCUAGCCUCUCGAGUAGUAUCGCGGUGGCUUGCGCGAUGAGGAUCUUCCUCGAUCAGCGCGAGCAUGCCUCUGGAUGAGCAGUGGUGGGCUGGCCUCUGUGUUCGUUGGCGGGCUGCUGAAGACUGCACGCUUGCACGUCUGUCAAGGUUGCCGGGAGCUAGCCGCCGCGCCGACGGCGUUCCUCGGAUUUGGGUCGAGGCCGGAGCAGCAAUUGCUCCCAGCUGAGCCGUGGUGGCUCGCGGGAUUCAGGUGGUACGCGUCUUGGCUGCAGCUGGUAGGUUCUUGGUAAUUUCGACGAUGCGCGAGCACUGCGGCUUUCAUCGGCAAGGGUUCUGUCUUGCGGAGGAGCUCACUCUGUAGUGUCCCGGAGGAGCACUCGACGGAUUUCGGCCUUUUUGUCGUAGUCUAGUUUGAGUGUCGGGUGUGUACUGUGGGUGUUCGGCCUUUUCUUAGGCUUGUAAUGUAAACUUCCUUUCUAUCAAUGAAUCGAAACGCAAACCUUUUGCGUUUUCGCGAAAAAAAAUGCAUGUGAAUUUCUUCUAUAAAUGUCCCUAGCCUACCCGGCCAUGCAAGGGCUCUGAGAGGGGCAAAUGAAUCCUGUUCGUCCAAUCCGGUUGACACAGUAAAUUUGCAACCCCACGUUUCACAGCAGCCGUCGGAUAUGGUAAAUUUUUGUUCACUUCGUGCUUGUUUGAAUAGGUCAAUGACAGCUGGGCCCGUUUACGUGUAGGGCCGGUGUUUCAGCCAGCGAACCAGCUUAACGAUCAAGUGCACGUCGCACACAUGUCCCGCUGUGAAAACCUAGAUCUUGAUUGGCAAAAAUAUCUGAGGCGUCUCCUCCCACGGCCUCCACUCCACCUUCUCGCUCCGAGCCGCCGCCCUCUUGUCUCCUCUCUCCCGCGGCCUCGACUCCCCACUCCUGUCGGCGGGCAGAGGCGGGCGAGCUCGACGAGUAGCUCGCGCGGGGCGGGGCGUUAGUGGGGCGAGCGCGCGCGGCGAAUGGCGGGGCGAGCGGUCAUGGCUGGGGGAAGAAGAUGCGACGGCCAUGGCGGCUGACGGCAGGAGCGCGUCUGGGAGAGGCUGGCGGCGCGGAGGGUGAGCGGCGAUCGGACGGAGCAGGAUGCAACGGCCACGGUGGUGGGCGGAAGGAGGCGCUGAAGGAGUGGGUCCGGAGGAUGGCGGCGGCGCAUCAGUGGAGUCACUCACGCCAGCUCGUCGGCUCCCUUGGCUUCCUCAAGCCAUCGGCAAGCACCAAGGCCGCCGACCCAAGAGGGCGUGCUCACAACGGGCUGGUCGCCUGGAUCCACCCCGCCGCUUGAUGCCCAUGGAUGGGGCGGCCGCGGUGGCGAGCGAAAGGGGGCGCUGAAGGAGCGGGUCUGGAGGAGGGCGGCGACGCAUCAAUGGAGUCACUCACGCCAGCAGGUCGACUCUCGCCAGCCUCCACAAGCGACGGAGACGGUUCGGCCUGCCCAUGGCGAUGACAGUUCUCCGAUCUGUGUUGUAGUUGCUGCUGCUGCUGGGCGAGCUGUUACAUAGUCACACUGAGGCUGACACACAACAUUGCUUGCAUUACCUGACGGAUUCAUCCCUGGAGUGAUACAUCAAAAGAUUACUCGGAUGGUGCCCAGAUAACACGAAGGAGGUAAGGAGUGUCAUUGAUAUAUUAUGGAUGGUUUAUACACCUUAAUUCAUACAUAUCUUACAUGUGGUACCUGGCAAUAAAUUAUUUUUCCUUUAUGGCUAGGAGGUGAACUUCCUAGAAGUAGCAAUAACAAAGAAUAAUGAUGUUAUGCCAGAUGAACUUCCCAAGGAGGAUAGUUCUUUUUUACCUGGCCCUUUAUGGCUGAUAGUUCUUUUUUACCUGGCCCUUUUCACUUUGCAUGUUCUAGGAUUUAGUAGGCUUGCUUCUUGUCUCAUCCUGUAUUAGGCUCUGGUUAUGUGCUCUUCUUCUGUGUUGAGGUGUGUCGCUUCCUUCUCCUUACUAGGAAUGCAUCUUCCGUUCAGGGCCUCUUUUCUCUAUGGUGAUUGACUGAUUGUUCUUGCUUUGUAUCUAAUACACUCUGCUGCUAUAUUUCAUGAGCAUAGCCUGAGAGAAUUCUUGCAUUUAUGGUACGAGCAGAAGGUAUGAUCUGAAUGUGUCAUUGCACAAAAGGCAAAACUUCCGCUAUGUGUCAUUGCAGAAUGGCUCUCUUCUGUAAGGUAUACACUGAACACUUGCCGUUAUUACCUUUAUUUGGUUAGGUUUUCAUGGGAAUAGAUUAUACACAAUGGCGCAAUGCACUCUGCUUAUGGUGAAAUUUGAUUUGCUUGAGUGGUAGCAAGCUGCCUUGCAGAUUAAAGUUGGCAUGAUCGCUGCAGGGUACAGAAACAUGAGUCAAUCCUCUUCCAAGGGCAUAUCUCCUUCACCGGCUACGUUGGUUCAAUGGGGAGACAAGGUGAGCGGAGCUUCUUCCAUGCCGGCUACAUCCUCCUCCUCCUCCCCCCCCUCUUUCAAGGUGGUAGGCACCACGAUGUUGGGGACGGGCCAAGCGUGAACCUGGGGCAGCAGCAUGCUCUGGAUGCGAGCUGGGCCGGUGCCUAUGAUGCCAUGGUGAGCAUCUCUAAAUCCUUAUUUCCAUUUGCUCUUGAUCUCUCUCUCUUCUAGGCUUUGCCAUGUCUACUGGUUCUCUACGCACCUUCUUGGUUCUUUCGAUUUGCUUGUACCUUCAUGUCAUAAACUGUUUGAUGAAAUACCUGUGUGUUGAUCCAUUCUUGCUGCUCUAUAUUUUGGCUGUUCAUGAAGCACCUGCCGUCCAAGCAGGGCACUUUGUGCGGUGACGGACUACUCCUGGAAGAAAACGAGGACAAGAACACCGCUGCCACAUUAAUUGAUACUGAGCUGGAUGAUGAAGCACUUAAGGCAC
Non-coding RNA from Lolium perenne, 3128 nucleotides. The record is from RefSeq and is a predicted model, not a curated record. Lineage: Eukaryota; Viridiplantae; Streptophyta; Magnoliopsida; Poales; Poaceae.